AACGCGAAGAACCUUACCUAAGCUUGACAUCCUUUUGACCUCUCCCUAAUCGGAGAUUUCCCUUCGGGGACAAAAGUGACAGGUGGUGCAUGGUUGUCGUCAGCUCGUGUCGUGAGAUGUUGGGUUAAGUCCCGCAACGAGCGCAACCCUUGUCCUUAGUUGCCAGCACGUAAAGGUGGGGACUUUAAGGAGACUGCCGGUGAUAAACCGGAGGAAGGUGGGGAUGACGUCAAAUCAUCAUGCCCCUUAUGAGUUGGGCUACACACAUACUACAAUGGCUGGUACAAAGAGAAGCGAACCUGCGAGGGUAAGCGGACCUCAUAAAGCCAGUCUAAGUUCGGAUCGCAGUCUGCAACUCGACUGCGUGAAGUCGGAUUCGCUAGUAAUCGCAGAUCAGAAUGCUGCGGUGAAUACGUUCCCGGGUCUUGUACACACCG
This 437-nucleotide ribosomal RNA is filed under the name uncultured bacterium. RNAcentral's name for it is "bacterial SSU rRNA". It matches the Rfam family "Bacterial small subunit ribosomal RNA", at positions 958 to 1392 of the family's 1533-position model. The record is from RNAcentral.